This 504-nucleotide ribosomal RNA is filed under the name uncultured bacterium. RNAcentral's name for it is "partial 16S ribosomal RNA". It matches the Rfam family "Bacterial small subunit ribosomal RNA", at positions 30 to 523 of the family's 1533-position model. The record is from RNAcentral.
AUUGAACGCUGGCGGCAUGCCUUACACAUGCAAGUCGAACGGCAGCAUGGAGAGCUUGCUCUCUGAUGGCGAGUGGCGAACGGGUGAGUAAAGCAUCGGAACGUACCGUGUAGUGGGGGAUAACGUAGCGAAAGUUACGCUAAUACCGCAUACGCACUGAGGUGGAAAGCAGGGGAUCGCAAGACCUUGCGCUAUACGAGCGGCCGAUGUCAGAUUAGCUAGUUGGUAGGGUAAAGGCCUACCAAGGCGACGAUCUGUAGCGGGUCUGAGAGGAUGAUCCGCCACACUGGGACUGAGACACGGCCCAGACGCCUACGGGAGGCAGCAGUGGGGAACUUUGGACAAUGGUGGCAACCCUGAUCCAGCCAUGCCGCGUGAGUGAAGAAGGCCUUCGGGUUGUAAAGCUCUUUCGGCCGGGAAGAAAUCGCACAGGCUAAUACUCUGUGUGGAUGACGGUACCGGCAUAAGAAGCACCGGCUAACUACGUGCCAGCCGCCGCGGUAA